UCAGUGAUCCGACAGCUGAUUGGUUCAGAGGGAGAACAACAGGUCCUCCUCUUGGUGGACUCAAGAGGUCUGAGAGACCAGACCUGUCCUCCUCUUGGUGGAUUCAGGAGGUCUGAGAGACCAGACCGGUCCUCCUCUUGGUGGAUUCAGGAGGUCUGAGAGACCAGACCGGUCCUCCUCUUGGUGGACUCAAGAGGUCUGAGAGACCAGACCGGUCCUCCUCUUGGUGGAUUCAGGAGGUCUGAGAGACCAGACCGGUCCUCCUCUUGGUGGACUCAGGAGGUCUGAGAGACCAGAUGUACUGGACUCUCUGAGGCUCAUUAAGAGGAUCAUCUGUUUCCCUUUUAUUGAUCAUGUUUCUCAGAUCAGAUGAUCAAUAAUCAACCUCCUGAUGGGGUCAGCGUUAGAACUAACACUAAUGAACUAACGGGACAUUGAUCAGCUCAAACUCUGAAUGAAUGAACGUUGUGACGUCUGGUUUGUUUUCAACAGGUGAUGAAGAACUUUGAGCUGCUGAACUGUUUUAUGACUUCAAGCUCAGACAGCAACAUGGACUCCUGGUUCCUGGUCCUCUUCACUCUGGCGGUUCAUCUGGCCUCAAGAACUGGAGCUCAGAACACAACAACACCUACUACUAUUACUGGUCCUACUGAUACUACUGCUUUAAAUACUACUACUUUUGCUCCUGCUACUGAUACUACUAGUCCUACUGAACCUACUGCUUUAAAUACUACUACUUUUGCUCCUGCUACUGAUACUACUGGUCCUACUGAUACUACUACUUUAAAUACUACUACUUUUGCUCCUGCUACUGAUACUACUAGUCCUACUGAACCUACUGCUUUAAAUACUACUACUUUUGCUCCUGCUACUG
Molecule: long non-coding RNA, 874 nt
Organism: Sebastes umbrosus (honeycomb rockfish)
Lineage: Eukaryota; Metazoa; Chordata; Actinopteri; Perciformes; Sebastidae
Exons: 3
Source: RefSeq, a predicted model, not a curated record